GCAGAGUAGACCUGUGUGCGUUAAGUGCCGGAUGGACGGGGAGUUGCCAGCCGGACGAAAAGUUUAUCUUGCGGUACACACGUCGCAUCCCGCUGC
This 96-nucleotide non-coding RNA is filed under the name chicken gut metagenome. Its description in RNAcentral is "THF riboswitch". It matches the Rfam family "THF (Tetrahydrofolate) riboswitch aptamer". Rfam says of the family: THF riboswitch presents a pseudoknot that joins P1-P2 and the loop of P3 and two THF binding. The record is from RNAcentral.